RNAcentral lists this ribosomal RNA (253 nucleotides) under uncultured bacterium. RNAcentral's name for it is "partial 16S ribosomal RNA". It matches the Rfam family "Bacterial small subunit ribosomal RNA", at positions 524 to 776 of the family's 1533-position model. The record is from RNAcentral.
UACGUAGGGUGCGAGCGUUAAUCGGAAUUACUGGGCGUAAAGCGUGCGCAGGCGGUUUUGUAAGACAGAUGUGAAAUCCCCGGGCUCAACCUGGGAACUGCAUUUGUGACUGCAAGGCUAGAGUAUGGCAGAGGGGGGUGGAAUUCCACGUGUAGCAGUGAAAUGCGUAGAGAUGUGGAGGAACACCGAUGGCGAAGGCAGCCCCCUGGGCCAAUACUGACGCUCAUGCACGAAAGCGUGGGGAGCAAACAGG